UUUUGGGCAUGGAACCUGGUGGGUGUGGAGGUCUCCUUCCACACUUGAAACACUUCCAAGUUGGAUAAGAGUCCAAUUAAAAUAGAUCCAAUCCAAUUAGGUCAAAGACAACAUAUCUAUUUUAUCUCAAACAUUUUGAACUUAACCUAAUUAGGAACUUGGAUUAACAUAAUGUGCUAGCAUAUCAAAUUAACCCUUAGGAUUGACAUUAAAUCUUAAUUAAAUCAGACUAAGACUAAAUCUCAAAGUGUGUGACCCAUUGAGUUUCAAAUCUAGCCAGCAGUGGACAUAAACUCUUGAUCUAACUCUAAUCCGAUCAGAUUAGAUCAGCUCAAGAGUCCCAAUCAACUAAGACUCUUCCUAAUUAAUUCUCAAAUUAAACUCUUUUAAUUCUAAUGAGUUCACAAGUCAAGAUUGACAUCUAGCAACGUGUCAUGACUAUUUGAAAGAUUUAAAAUUUUGAUAGAAAUUAUCAAAAUAUUUUUCUGUGGUAAGUUAUCGUGUAAUUCAAUUUUUUAGUCAAACAACAUCCCAGAUGAGCAUGGGUAUGAAAUCAUGUCAAAUCUAAUUGCUUAUCUAUAUGUAUCUCGAUCAGAAGGUGAUGAUUCAGUUAAUGAUAUAUUAGAAAUUUCUUUCUAAUUAUCAUCCUGCUUUGACCAAAGACUUUCAGAAUCAUCCACCUAUGAGAUCACAUAGGAUGUUUGCUCUCCUUAUUAGGAGUGACUGGUUUCUUAUCAAUCACUCAUAACCUCCAUGCACAUUUCAUCAUAUUCAGAACACUCUAAACAAGGAUUAGAGAAUCAAGUUAGGAAGUGAACCAAAAUAUGGAUUUAUGUACAUAAGGUACCAUGGUAAUCUCAGAUCAAAAGUCACUUAUACAACUCUCACUAGAGAAUAAUCAGCUGACAUAUAAAUAAGACUCCAUCAGAUGUUCUUUCAUAGGUCUAUUCAGUAAACUCAUUCUCUAAUGAGCACCCACAUCUUUGUAUUAGUGUCACCACACAAGUGAUUGUGAGAUCAACUACCUUCAUCACUGAGCAUACAUAGGAUAUGCCAGUCUUACCGAUAUCAUUGAUCUCUGACUCAAUGAACCAAUGACUGAAAAUAUUUUAGGCAUGGCUAUCAAGAAUUUAGGUCUCACUGAUGUGAUUUUAUUACAGUCCUAAAAUCAUUGUCUAGACCUGUGGGGUUCAUUACAGUCUUAAAAAGAAUAAGAUGCGAUAUAUAAUGAACCAAGAAGUCUAUUUUAUUAAAUAACAAUGUCAAUUACAUGAGUUUGAAAGAUAAAUUAUAAAAAGCAUCCGAUCGCAUCCCAUAUACAAUUGACUUGUAGGAUAUUAUUCUUUCAUCAUUUAUCCUGAAGAAGCGAUUGUGCACCAAUCUCUUUGAAUUAAACACCAUCUCCAUAAUGAUCCUAUGAUCUGAAGUAAUUUAUGAAUUAAUUAUAAUGAUUCGUGUCUCAAAUUCUCAACUUUUGAGAAUAUGUAUCAUUACUCUUAUUAACUCAAAGGAUGAUUCAUAGACACUUAAAACAUAAAUAUGAAUGAAAAUAAACCCAACUUUAUUAAUUUAUACAUCAAUAUUACAAAAUAUGCCUUAAGAAAGUUUUAUAAGUGUCGGUCAAUUUGGCUUCUAGGGCAUAUAUCUAAUAUAGAGACCCCUAGGUAUGUAAUCUCUCUUUCAUGCUUCUUUCCAUCUAUUUUCAAGUUUCUAACUUAAACAUUAGAGGAUCUCCAUCGGAGCCAACUCUAGUCAGGGACUUCUUUUAUAGGUCUGAUCGUCAUUAUCCUACCAUCGUCAUCCACUCCAGCUAUGCCGAUCUUUGACUCAAAAAUUUGCAGCAACAGAUAGAUAAAAAAAGUUACACAUAUUUUUCUUCUAUAUAAUAAAAUAUUAAAUUGAAAAGAUUAGAGAGUAGUCUAAAAUCAAGUUAUGUCUAAAGAUGUUGUUUAAAAAGUGAUAUCACCCUCCAACAUGCGAAACUACUGGUAAUCGUCCACUAGAUCGCUGGUGACCAUCCCCAAAGAUGCAACGAUCUAGUGGAUGCUCACUCAUAGAAUCUCAUAUCUCUUCUUUUUCCAUUUUAGUCAAUAUAUAGACUAGCUACAAUGGGGAGAGAAGAAUCCAAUGGAGAAAGAUGGCUCAUAAAAAGGAGCUUCGUAAUGGCCAGUCUAAAAGAAGAAGUCAAAUAAGAAAGCUCUAAUAAAUAGAUAGUUAAUAGACUAUUCUUAAGCCUUUUAGUAAGCUCAUUAGGUCUUGUCUUAUAUAGGCCAAUCAAAUAAAUCAAGAUAUGAAUGAUAAAAUAAAAAAAAUAUUCACAAGAUCACUAUUUAUUUAAAAUUUUAAAUCAUAAAAAAAAUUAAUAAAUCCAACAAUCCCCCACAUGAUUUAAAAUUUUAUGAAUAUUAAGCUUAUUUAAAAUUAUAAAAUAACUGAGAAUCAAUACACUCAAAUCUCAUAUGAUGGGCACUAUAUACUAUGCAAUGAGUGAAAGCACCUUUCGGAUUUAAACCUCUAUUUAGUAUUGACUGCAU
Molecule: long non-coding RNA, 2534 nt
Filed under: Elaeis guineensis (African oil palm)
Lineage: Eukaryota; Viridiplantae; Streptophyta; Magnoliopsida; Arecales; Arecaceae
Description: long non-coding RNA (EGUI_LNC064820)
Source: RNAcentral